AUGGUAGAAGGGGCUAGACAGCUCUCUAGGAUCUGUUUUAUUUAUUUAUUUAUUAUUAUCAUUAUUAAUUUUUUUUUUUUUUACACAGUCUCACUCUGUUACCCAGGCUGGAAUGCAGUGGCACGACCUCGACUCACUACAACCUCUGCCUCUAGAGUUCAAGUGAUUCUUUUGUCUCAGCCUCCAGAGCAGGUGGGAUUACAGGUGUGCCCCACCACGCCUGGCUAAUUUUUGUAUUUUCAGUAGAGAUGGGGUUUCACCAUAUUGGCCAGGCUGGUCUCGAACUCUCGACCUUGUGAUCCGCCUGCCUCAGCCUCCCAAAGUGCUGGGAUUACAGGCAUGAGCCACGGCGCCCAGCCUAUCAUUAGUUCUUACAUGUUUGGGAUAAGCGGUGGAGUUAGGAGCAAUUUUUUGUGGGCAGGGGGUGGGUCUCACAAAGUACAUUCUCAAGGGUGGGGAGAAUAUUACAAAGUAUGUUAUCACAAGGGCGGGGAAGGUGUAUUAUCAUAAGGUCAAUUGAUCAGCUAGGGUGGGGCAGGAACAGAUCACAAUGGUGGAAUGUCAUCUUUUGUGGUUCUUCAGUUGCUUCAGGCUAUCUGGAUGUAUACAUGCAGGUCACAGGGGAUAUAAUGACUUAGCUUGACACGCUUCGGUGAGCCAUGAUUGUGCCAGUGCACUCCAGUCUCGGUGACAGAGCAAGACGCUAUCUCAAACAAACAACAACAACAAAACAACCAGAAGGCCGGGCGCGGUGGCUCACGCCGGUAAUCCCAGCACUUUGGGAGGCUGAGGCAGGCGGAUCACAAGGUCGGGAGUUCUGAAGAAAGAAUUUGACUGAGGAGCAAUAAGGCAGAAAAAGAGACAAGGCAAGUUUCAGAGCAGGAGUGGAAGUUUAUUUAAAAGGCCUUUAGAAUAGGAAAGAAAGGAAAGCACGCUCGGAAGAGUCCCAAGCCAUCACUGAGGUCAACUGUGAUAUUGACCUUGAUCCUAGGACUUUAUAGGCUGGCUCCUUUCCCAUGAUUCUUCCCUUAGGGUGGGCUGCCUGCAUGCGCAGUGCCCUCCUUAUCAUUGGGAAGUGAGCACAGCGCAGUAUGUAGGCAGGUGCACGCAUGCCCAUCUGAGGCUUUCUUGCCUUUUCCGAUAGAGUCCUCUUGGAAGGUCAUACUCCCCGAUUUUGUCUCUUAAUGCAUAUGCCCAAGAAGUUGCUUCUCCCUGUCAUCUGCAUUCAACUAACACUUUAGUGCAACAGGUGUGGGCCAUCAGGAAGUGGCCUCUCCCCGGCACCGGCUGCCAAUUAAUCACUAUUAGAGGCAAUAUGCAUUCCUAGUGGGUGAGGGAAGAGCCCUCUCCUGCCCUGCUCAUGCCUAACUACCUGUAACAAACCUUGCAAAUAUUAAGCCAGCCACCAAAAGACCAUAUAAUUCCAUUUAUAUUAAAUGUCCAGAUUAGUUAAAUCUAGAGAGACAGAAAGUAGGUUCUUGGUUGGCUAGGGCUGGAGGAGGUGGGAGGAUCAGGGGUGAUAGCUAAAAGAUACAAGUUUCUUCUUUGGAGUGGUAAAAGAUGUUCUCAAAUAGUGCAGAUGGUUGCCCAAGUCUGUUAAUAUACUAAAAAGCAUUGAACACUUCAAAUGGGUGUAUUAUACGGCAUGUGAUUACAGCCUAAUAAAUAAAUAGUAUGUCCUGCUGUAUCCUUUAGGGCCUCUGAGAAAUGGAGAGGGCUCCAUCUGAAGCCAGACUGAUUGAGUUCCGAUCCUGCUUCCAUUUUCCCCGCAGGUAACUCCUUCCUUAACAGCAUCACGGGGUGAUACUCUCUAUCCGGAAAGGUCAUUGUAAUUUUUAAAAACAUUAAAAACAUACACCAGGGUUAAUCAUGUGCAGUGUGUGAUACACAGACGCUCUGAAACACUACUGCACACACACACACGCACAUGGCGCCUCUGGGGAGGUUCUGAAAGAACCAGAUCUGGAGAACUGAUCGUGUCCCUGGUCUCGGCCCUCGCCCUCCUUGUUUCUUAGACUCUAAAGCAAGCAGGCAGCAGAGCAGUCCUUGAAAUCCAGAGUCAAGAAAAAGCCCUGCACCCCUUGGUCCGAGAGCCGCAAGGAGCCGGGCCUAAGCGCCUGGCGAGGCCGCCCUACCCAGCAGAGGCAGUUGCUGUGUAACUCGGGCACGAGACACCCAGCCUCACCCGCUGCUGUUAACCGACAGCCGCAACGGUUCCCGCCCCGCCCAGGUCGGAGAACAAUGCUGCACCCUGCCCGUAGAGCCUCGCGGUGCCGCGCCCUGGAGCGGGCCUGCCGGGAAAUGUAGUUUCCGAAGCCCCGCCCUUGCCGCCCCGUGGCUUGCCGGCCGGGAGCUCCAAGCAACUACAAGUUCCAUCACGCUCUGCGAGGCCUUGAUCUCCAGGCUUUUGCA
Papio anubis (olive baboon) is the source of this 2412-nucleotide long non-coding RNA. The record is from Ensembl. Lineage: Eukaryota; Metazoa; Chordata; Mammalia; Primates; Cercopithecidae.